This 471-nucleotide ribosomal RNA is filed under the name Oncophanes sp. Its description in RNAcentral is "partial 16S ribosomal RNA". Lineage: Eukaryota; Metazoa; Arthropoda; Insecta; Hymenoptera; Braconidae. The record is from RNAcentral.
CUGCCCAAUGAUAAAUUUAUUUAAUGGCUGCAGUAUAAAUAACUGUACAAAGGUAGCAUAAUAAUUAGUUUUCUAAUUAAAAACUAGAAUGAAAGAUUAAAUGAAAUAUAAACUGUUUCAAUAAAAAUAAUUAAAAUUAUUAUUUAAGUUAAAAUUCUUAAAUAAAAAUAAAAGACGAUAAGACCCUAUAGAAUUUUAUUAUUUUAUUUAUAAAAAUUUAUUUAAAUUAAUUUAAUUAAAUAAAUAAAAUAAUUUAAUUGGGGUAAUUUAAAAAUUAAAAAAAUUUUUUUUUAAAAAUACAUAAAUUUAUGUUUUAAAAAUCCUAAUAUUUAGAUUAAUAAAUUAAAUUACCUUAGGGAUAACAGCAUAAUUUUUUUUGAAAGUUCUUAUUAAUAAAAAAGAUUAUGACCUCGAUGUUGAAUUAAGAUAAAAUUUUAACGAAAAAAUUUUAAAAUUUAAGUCUGUUCGACU